This is a long non-coding RNA of Erinaceus europaeus (western European hedgehog), 1180 nucleotides long. RefSeq lists it as uncharacterized. The record is from RefSeq and is a predicted model, not a curated record. Lineage: Eukaryota; Metazoa; Chordata; Mammalia; Eulipotyphla; Erinaceidae. The transcript is spliced from 2 exons.
GCUGAAGGAAGGAAGAAAGAAGGCAUUAUUUAAGGGCUGGUGAAGAUCCACACCAGCUGGCUCCCAUGUGGUGCUCAUUUUUAUUAAAAAUAAAAUGCCUUUAUAUGUUAACUCUCUUUUCAGCCACCAAGUUCCAGAUGCCAGCAUGAUGCCGACCAGACUUCCCUGGACAGACAACCCCACCAAUGUGUCCUGGAGCUCUGCUUCCCCGGAGCCGUUCCCCACUAGGGAAAGAGAGACAGGCUGGGAGUAUGGAUCGACCUGUCAACACCCAUGUUCAGCAGGGAAGCAAUUACAGAAACCAGACCUUCCACCUUCUGCAUCCCACAAUGACCUUGGAUCCAUUCUCCCAAAGGAAUAAAGAAUAGGAAAGCUUUUAGGAGAGGGGAUGGGAUACAGAGUUAUGAUGGUGGGAACUGUAUGUAGUUGUAUCCCUCUUGUCUAUGGUUUUGUCAAUGUUCCUUUUUAUAAAUAAAUUAAAAAUAAAUAAAUAAAAACAAAAUGUUCUAUGAUGGUUAUCUUUGGGAGGUGGGAGGGUGGGGAUACAGAACUUUGGUGGUGGGUGUGGUGUGGAGCUGUACACUGUAAUCUUACCAUCUUUCCCCAGCCCUGCACCUUUUCAGUCCCUUCCAGGACCUGGAACUGGCCAGAAUCUACUGUGCUGUCAGGGAAUUGUUUGGAGUGAAUACUUGUGUCCUUCCCCAAACCAACUCCUUAUGAUGAAAUCCUUACCUCUAACAUGACUAUUUGGAGACAGGACCUCUAAAGAAGUAAUUACUGAACCACCAGGUUCCAGAUGUCAUCAGGAUGCCAACCAGACUUCCCUGGACAGACGACCCCACCAAUGUGUCCUAGAGCUCCACUUCUCCAGAGACCCACCCUACUAGAGAAAGAGAGAGGCAGACUGGGAGUAUGGAUUGACCAGUCAAUGCCCAUGUUCAGUGGGGAAGCAAUUAUAGAAGCCAGACCUUCCACUUUCUGCAACCCACAGUGACCUUGGGUCCAUAUUCCCAGAGGGAUAAAGAAUGGGAAAGCUAUCAGAGGAGGGAAUGGAAUAUGGAGAUCUGGUGGUGGGAAUUGUGUGGAGUUGUACCCCUCCUAUCCUAUGGUUUUGUUAAUGUCUCCUUUUUUAAAUAAAUUAAUUUUUAAAAAGAAUAAAUAAAUAAAUAAAUAAAUAAAU